This is a long non-coding RNA of Canis lupus familiaris (dog), 1243 nucleotides long. RefSeq lists it as uncharacterized. The transcript is spliced from 4 exons. Lineage: Eukaryota; Metazoa; Chordata; Mammalia; Carnivora; Canidae. The record is from RefSeq and is a predicted model, not a curated record.
AUCUCCCCAUUUCAAGGCCAGCUGAUUACCAACCUUAAUUCCACGAGGAGCCUAAGUGCCCUUUUCUUUGUAACACAAGGUUUAACUUCAGAAAUGAGGUGAAUCGCUGGGCAACUGCAAUCAGCUGGCAAUUUUGAGACCAGCCGUUUCUCAUAAAGGUGGAACUCUAAUUUGGAUAACAGAACAGAGGCAAAAUGAAGACACUGUGCCUCUCUUUGAGUAAUUGCUUUGGUUUCUAAUGGAAAAGAACCGCAUCCUGUUAUCCUGAAGUAGCAUUACAAUAUGUGGCGGCCUCUAACUAAAUCAGAGAAGAAUAGUUAGAGAAUAUACAACUCUUUGAUAUAUUGACUUCUGGAACACUAUUGUACCUGAAGAAGCCAAUAAAUAAUAUUUUGAAAGACACUGUUCUAGGCGCAAGAGCUAUGUCAGAGAAGGAAAUGUGCCAUGAUACCUGCCCUCUUUGAACUUCCUUCAUAAAGGAAGGAAGACGGACAGUAAACAAUACGCAGGCAGCAUCCCUAAAAUUUUUAAUGAUUCAGUGAUCCAGUGGUCACUAUAUUGUUCUAAACACACUGGCAACAUGAGUCAAGACCCCAUCUGAUAUACAUUCUCUGAGUCUUCGGCAGAGUGAAAGGUAACAAGACAUUUUCUAGAAGCCUACUCUCAGGAGAAGGAGAGACGGAGAUGUAAAAUCACUUGGAUACACAGUAUACUGGAAUUCUUUCCAUCAAAGAGGGCCUCAUUUAUGAUCUCCUGGAACACUCUGUAACAGCUCUCCUCUUUCUUCCCAAGAUCUUUACACCCCAAAGCUACUCAGGAGUGCUCACUUUCUAGACAUGGACUCCUUAUCCUGUCUUUGCCACCCAUUACCCGUUCCUUCUUUUGUUCCUUAAAUGGACCCAGCUGCUCUUUUAGAAAUGAGUAGACCUUCUUUGGGAAGUAAAAGUGCAGAGAAAAUUUUUGGACAAAUACAGGCUUGUCUUUGGCAGGUGGGAUGAAGAAAAAGCCAGGAAAUUUUUACAUGAAUGAUAUUGCCCUGUCACUCAUGAAUAACUCAAAUAUAAUGUCCAAGAGUGAGAGCUCUGAGGCCUGCAAUGCCUGGAUCCAAGGAGCUGCUCGCCCAAUCACUGUGUGAAUGCCCUUGGACAAAUGUCCUAAUAUUUCUUUGCAAAUAGAUGUAUCUAUUUUAAUACGUAUAUAUAAACACAUAGUUUGUACAUAAGUGAAUUUUUUAAUAUUUGAA